CUUACUGCAAACUGCUACCCAUUUCCGUUCCUGUUCAGUUGCUUGCUUUACUUGAUUAUUUGCCCCAAGUUGCUUAUGGUAACUAAAAAAAAAGGGGGGGUAUCUCUACAAUUAUGUCAUAGUACAAACAUAAUUAUUGCUUUUAAAGUUGUUCAGUUGCUUGCUUUCCACUGUAAACUUCAGCCAGUAGCAAUCGGUUGCAGCUCCCAGUAAUAAAAUUCCAUGUGUAAUGUAAUGCCUGGGGGGUUCCCCCUCUGACCUUAGCAAUUGUUCCUAUUCGUUAUUUGUGUGAUCACACCAUCCAUUGCUCUCACCAUCUUGUUUAUUUUUUUUCUUUCAAAAUAUUUAAUUCUUAAUACUUACCCAGAGAUCUUUGCCUUUAUUUUUAGGCCUUCCGAGCACUCCCUGAUUCAUUGGACGAGAUAGAUGCUAAAUGAAGAAAGAUCUAGAGCCUCAUGCUUCACAGGCUUAACUGCUUCAGUUGUGGAUGAUUACAACAAACGAACAAUAGAAAUACAAGGAACUUGACAGAAAAGAACUCGAGCUGGAGAAUUACAGGCGGAAUAUUUCACAGCUGCUCCAGAAUCUUACCUAUGCAGAAGAAAUGACCAUGUUGUUUGUUUACAAUGGUUCAAUGCUGGAACCCACAAAAUGGAAUUUGAAACCAUUCCAUAGAAGGCAGAAGAGAGUUGCAGCGGUGGAUGAAUAAAGUGCUGAUUUCUAUUUAAGGCUUAAAACAGCUUUGUGCACUGACCAUAUGCUAAACAUGCAUCCUGCAAAUGCUCAUUGCAAAAAAAAACCAUAACAUUCCUUAUGUUAUUUUAUAAUUUCUUGUAAUUUAGAAUUGCAGUACAUUUAAUAUAUAGCUUUGUGAACUUUUUUUUUAGUUUUAGUUCAGUAGUUCCCAAGCUGUAGAACUGGCCUUUUUGGGGAUAUGGGGCAGGGGGACCAACCUGAAGGCCAGUUAUGAUGGGGAAUGUAUCUAUUUCAUCUUUGAAAUAUUCCAGAAAUCUUAGCACAAAGUUCAAGGAGUGGUUUUGGGGGUAUAUAUUGUUAGAAAUAUGGCACUCUUCAUAUACAUAUAACAUUGAUAUGAGUUUGAGGGAGCCCUGAAAAAAACAUUGAUCUCCAAGGUGGGCUUAAACUGAAAGUCCCGCAAACACAGAUAUAAAGCAAUAAAAUUGUGUGAAGGUGUGCAACAUGUAUUUAAAUUAUGUUAUAUUCCAUUUUAUAAUUUGGAAAACUGUAGCUUUACACUUGUGUCUUGAAAAGAUUUUGUUUUAGUUGUCUUGAAAAUAGUUUUCAAGAUAUUAAAAAUGAAAAUGUGCUCAUUUUUAU
Long non-coding RNA from Xenopus laevis (African clawed frog), 1338 nucleotides. RefSeq lists it as uncharacterized. The record is from RefSeq and is a predicted model, not a curated record. Lineage: Eukaryota; Metazoa; Chordata; Amphibia; Anura; Pipidae. The transcript has 3 exons.